UACGUAGGGUGCGAGCGUUAAUCGGAAUUACUGGGCGUAAAGGGUGCGCAGGCGGUUCUGCAAGUCAGGCGUGAAAGCCCCGGGCUUAACCUGGGAAUGGCGCUUGAAACUACAGGACUGGAGUAUGGCAGAGGGAGGUGGAAUUCCACGUGUAGCGGUGAAAUGCGUAGAGAUGUGGAGGAACACCGAUGGUGAAGGCAGCCUCCUGGGCCAAUACUGACGCUCAUGCACGAAAGCGUGGGGAGCAAACAGG
Molecule: ribosomal RNA, 253 nt
Filed under: uncultured bacterium
Lineage: Bacteria
Description: partial 16S ribosomal RNA
Rfam family: Bacterial small subunit ribosomal RNA
Source: RNAcentral